GCACAACGCGAAGAACCUUACCUAGGCUUGACAUGCAUCCCUAAGCACGUGAAAGCGUGUGACCCUUCGGGGAAUUUGCACAGGUGCUGCAUGGCCGUCGUCAGCUCGCGUCGUGAGAUGUCGGGUUAAGUCCCGCAACGAGCGCAACCCUUGUCCUUAGUUGCCAGCACGUAAAGGUGGGAACUCUAAGGAGACCGCCGGCGACAAGCCGGAGGAAGGUGGGGAUGACGUCAAGUCAUCAUGGCCCUUACGGCCAGGGCUACACACGUACUACAAUGGUGGGGACAGAGGGCUGCAAGCCGGCGACGGUGAGCCAAUCCCAGAAACCCCAUCCCAGUCCGGAUUGGAGUCUGCAACUCGACUGCGUGAAGUCGGAAUCGCUAGUAAUCGCGGAUCAGAAUGUCGCGGUGAAUACGUUCCCGGGUCUUGUACACACCG
Molecule: ribosomal RNA, 438 nt
Filed under: uncultured bacterium
Lineage: Bacteria
Description: bacterial SSU rRNA
Rfam family: Bacterial small subunit ribosomal RNA
Source: RNAcentral